GAUGAACGCUGGCGGCGUGCCUAAUACAUGCAAGUCGAGCGGACGGACGAGAAGCUUGCUGCUCUGAUGUUAGCGGCGCACGUGUGUGUAACACGUGUAUACCCUACCUAUAAUACGGGUAUAACUUCGGGAAACCGGCGCUAAUACCGUAUGAUAUUUUGAACCGCAUGGUUCAAAAGUGAAAGACGGUCGUGCUGUCACUUAUAGAUGGAUCCCGGCUGCAUUAGCUAGUUGGUAAGGUAACGGCUUACCAAGGCAACGAGGCAUAGCCGAACGGAGAGGGUGAUCGGCGACCCUGGAACUGAGACACGGUCAAGACUCCUAAGGGAGGCAGCAGUAGGGUACCUUCCGCAAUGGGCGAGAGCAUGACACAGUAACCGGGAGUGAGUGACGACGGUGCUGGGAUCGUAAAAAUCUGCUAUUAGGGAAGAACAGCUGUGUAAGUAAACGUACACUUAUUGACGGUAACUAAUAAGAAAGCAACGGCUAACUACGUG
RNAcentral lists this ribosomal RNA (497 nucleotides) under uncultured bacterium. RNAcentral's name for it is "partial 16S ribosomal RNA". It matches the Rfam family "Bacterial small subunit ribosomal RNA", at positions 28 to 507 of the family's 1533-position model. The record is from RNAcentral.